This 257-nucleotide small RNA is filed under the name Jaculus jaculus (lesser Egyptian jerboa). RNAcentral describes it as "7SK RNA (ENSJJAG00000005894.1)". The stretch from base 1 to 178 matches the Rfam family "7SK RNA". From Rfam's summary of the family: 7SK was discovered as an abundant small nuclear RNA in the mid-70s but a possible function has only recently been suggested. Two independent studies have found that 7SK RNA binds the CDK9/cyclin T complex (known as elongation factor P-TEFb). P-TEFb activates transcription by phosphorylating the C-terminal domain of RNA polymerase II. Lineage: Eukaryota; Metazoa; Chordata; Mammalia; Rodentia; Dipodidae. The record is from RNAcentral.
GGACAUGAGGGCGAUCUGGCUGCGACAACUGUCACCCCACUGAUCGCCAGGGUUGAUUCAGCUGAUCUGGCUGGCUAGGCAAGGGUCCCCUUCCUCCCUCACCUCUCCAUGUGUGUCCCUGCCAAAGCUGCGCUCCCCUGCUAGAACCUCCAGAAGAACUUCAGUACAAAUUCUAGUGACAAAUGGAGGCCACUAUAACCAGGCCAAGAAAAACUCACCAUAGUUUUCAAGUCCUCUGGCCUCAGGGAAGGAAGUUG